UCGGGUAAGUUCCGACUGCACGAAUGGCGUAACGACUUCUCUGCUGUCUCAACCACAGACUCGGCGAAUUGCAUUACGAGUAAGAUGCUCGUUACGCGCGGCAGGACGAAAGACCCCGACCUUCACUAUAGCUAUAGCUUGUAUUGGUGUUCGGUUUCGGUUUGUGUAGGAUAGGUGGGAGACUGUGAAGCGGGCACGCCAGUGUUCGUGGAGUCGUUGUUGAAAUACCACUCUGAUCGUAUUGGACAUCUAACCUCGGACCAUGAUCUGGUUCAGGACAGUGCCUGGUGGGUAGUUUAACUGGGGCGGUUGCCUCCCAAAAUGUAACGGAGGCGCCCAAAGGUUCCCUCAGCCUGGUUGGCAAUCAGGUGUCGAGUGCAAGUGCACAAGGGAGCUUGACUGUGAGACUGACAGGUCGAGCAGGGACGAAAGUCGGGACUAGUGAUCCGGCACCGGCAAGUGGAAGCGGUGUCGCUCAACGGAUAAAAGGUACCCGGGGAUAACAGGCUGAUCUUCCCAAGAGUCCAUAUCGACGGGAUGGUUUGGCACCUCGAUGUCGGCUCGUCGCAUCCUGGGGCUGGAGUAGGUCCCAAGGGUUGGGCUGUUCGCCCAUUAAAGCGGCACGCGAGCUGGGUUUAGAACGUCGUGAGACAGUUCGGUCUCUAUCCGCCGCGCGCGUUAGAAACUUGAGGAAGGCUGUCCCUAGUACGAGAGGACCGGGACGGACGAACCUCUGGUGUGCCAGUUGUUCCGCCAGGAGCACUGCUGGUUAGCUACGUUCGGAAGGGAUAACCGCUGAAAGCAUCUAAGCGGGAAGCCUGUUCCAAGAUGAGGUUUCUCACCCCCUCGAGGGGGUAAGGCCCCCGGCAGACCACCGGGUUGAUAGGCCAGAACUGGAAGCACAGUAAUGUGUGGAGGUGACUGGUACUAAUAGGCCGAGGACUUACCACAA
This 952-nucleotide ribosomal RNA is filed under the name Rhodococcus (subgen. Prescottella) equi. RNAcentral's name for it is "Rhodococcus hoagii partial 23S ribosomal RNA". It matches the Rfam family "Bacterial large subunit ribosomal RNA", at positions 1972 to 2925 of the family's 2925-position model. Lineage: Bacteria; Bacillati; Actinomycetota; Actinomycetes; Mycobacteriales; Nocardiaceae. The record is from RNAcentral.